AACGAACGCUGGCGGCAUGCUUAACACAUGCAAGUCGAACGGGACGUCCGGGCCUAGUGGCGCACGGGUGCGUAAGGCGGGGGAACCUGCACUUAGGUUCGGAAUCAUUCACUGAAGGGGGUGCUAAUACCGGUUAAUGUAUUCGGACCAAAGAGGUGUCGCCUUUGGGUGGGGCCGCGUUGGCUUAGCUAGUUGGUAGGGUAAACGCCUACCAUGGCGUCGUUGCAUAGCUGGUCUGAGAAGAUGACCAGCCACGCUGGGGCUGAGGCACGGACCAGCACCGUACGGAAGGCAGCAGAAGAGAAUAUUAGACGCUGGACGAAAGCCUGAUCCAGCAAUGCCGCGUAAGUCAUGAAGGCGUUAGGGUUGUAAAGCCCUUUUAGCCGAAAUGAUAGUGACGGUACCGGGAGAAGAAGCACCGGCUAACUCCGUG
RNAcentral lists this ribosomal RNA (433 nucleotides) under uncultured bacterium. RNAcentral's name for it is "partial 16S ribosomal RNA". It matches the Rfam family "Bacterial small subunit ribosomal RNA", at positions 29 to 507 of the family's 1533-position model. The record is from RNAcentral.